CUUCCGCUUUAAGGACAAUCUUUUCCCAGCUGCGUUCUAUCCGACUAGAAAGUUUCGAGAGCUCGUCUCUGAUGCGAGAUGUGUCCGUACGUUUCUGAAAGAAGAUCGGUGCGCCCCCGUUUGAAGACAAGCUCUUUAUUUUUCCUCGUUUUUGCGACGUUUACGCGACACAAUGGUGGGAAAUUUUCUUCCGGAAGUAGCGCUCCUCCUUGCGACUUCUGCCUCGCGAAAGCGGAAAGGGAUUCAGCAGAGCGCUAUUCGUCCAGAAACUCUUUUCAAGCCGGAACAAAACGAUAAUUGACACAGUCUAGUCGGCUUUCGUUCUUCGGGAAUCGAAGAGGUUGACAACCGUCAUUUGGAGCACGCACACGAGAGAAGGAAAGAGAGAAAGAGAGAGAAAGACGACAGGCGCGAGGAAAUACACGGGUAUAAGUCAGCCGUAAAUCCAUCAAUAUAUCUUUCGAUCGAUGAGGAUCAACAAGCGGAAAUGUCGUGCAAUCUAGGGGAAUGGAUAUUCAGUGGAUUUGUUUUCGAUUGGCUUUUCCACGCGAGGCAUUGCUGACGGCACGAGUGAGAGGAAACGGGAAAGGAAGAGAAAAAGAGAAGGAGAGAGAGAGAGAAAGAGAGGGAGAGCGAUGAGGCGAUAGAAGGCAGAGAGGGGUUGGCAUAAAUAUUAAUAUAAUAGCACUGAUUGCGCUAGAUCGCGGGGGUGCGAGAGCGUACGACACGUUGCAAAUAACACGCGACGGGGAAGUGCGGCGAGGAGAGUGACACAACGAGAGAGGAUGCGAAAGAGAAGAGGAGCGAAAAGAGAGAGCGCGAGUUGGUUAUGUCGGUAGCAUAGUGACAUAUCCGAGAGCAACAACGUGAUGACGCGAGAGCGAGAGCAAAGGGGUGACAAAAGGGGGUGGAGGGUCGGCAAAAGGGACGAAGUGCGAUGAGCAGAGAGAGAGAGAGAGGAGGGAGAAAAAGAGAGGGAGAAUGCGAGAAACCAGGAGGGAGAUAAAUAGACAGAUAGAUGGAUAGAGAAAGAGAGGCACCAACGAAGAGAACGGGAGGAGGAAAGAGAGGGAAAACUGUUCCACGUCGCGGGUGUCGGGGCUUUUCCGGGAGCGGGGAUGGCACCACGGGCAUUAAAUAUACACGCUGAUUUGUCGUCCGCGGAUUGUCACCUCUGAUAGCUUUCAUUUUGUUGUAUAUCGGUGCUCGCGCGAACGCCCGCGCUCUCGCGCCCCGCCGCGCUUUUCGACGUAAUUCGGCCCGCUUGAUUGACUUUUGAGCUGGCCUUUAUGACGAUAUCCGCCCCCCUCCCCUUUCCCCCUAACCCCAUCCUCGCUUUUCUCGUACCCCUUCCCCCCUCUCGACGAGGAUGGCGAUUUAUCGGGCACCGCGCGUUCGCUCUCGUUCUGCCCCGCUUUUCCGGACUAGGUUCGCUGAUCGGGUGCCCCUUCGUCAACCAACGAAUCUGGCGCCUAGGGCGCGACGUUUUCGGCAACGACACCACGGGGCAAACUGACAAUACAGGAGAGCGUGUCAAAAUGAUCGCGCGAGAGUACGCGACCGGCGAUGAUAUUCCCUCCUCUAUCCCCUGGCUUUUUCGGUAAAUUUAUACUUCAAUUCUAACGUCAAUCAGUGUAAAUCCGUAUUAUUCGGAAAAUACAAUUAGUGACGAAUAAUGACGAUGUGA
RNAcentral lists this long non-coding RNA (1687 nucleotides) under Camponotus floridanus (Florida carpenter ant). RNAcentral's name for it is "uncharacterized LOC112637769". The record is from RNAcentral. Lineage: Eukaryota; Metazoa; Arthropoda; Insecta; Hymenoptera; Formicidae.